Molecule: long non-coding RNA, 222 nt
Filed under: Elaeis guineensis (African oil palm)
Lineage: Eukaryota; Viridiplantae; Streptophyta; Magnoliopsida; Arecales; Arecaceae
Description: long non-coding RNA (EGUI_LNC059592)
Source: RNAcentral
GGUGCCCUUUCUUCUCCAUUUUUCUUCUGCCGCAUUCCUCUGGUUUGGUCCCCCGCAAACCUUUCCCCUCUUGUCCCGCCUGAUUUCUCCAGGAUCUUUAGGGUCUUUGUUUGAAAUAUCCUCCGGCACCUCUACCUCUAGUGGUUCCAGGAGUUCGUCCGCCUCAGCCCCCCAGAACCCCCACACUGUAGACGAACCAAUAUUUAGGGCUGGGCCUCGCCC